UACAGAGGGUGCAAGCGUUAUCCGGAAUUAUUGGGCGUAAAGAGCUCGUAGGCGGUUUGUCGCGUCUGCUGUGAAAACUUCAGGCUCAACCUGGGGCUUGCAGUGGGUACGGGCAGACUAGAGUGCGGUAGGGGAGACUGGAAUUCCUGGUGUAGCGGUGAAAUGCGCAGAUAUCAGGAGGAACACCGAUGGCGAAGGCAGGUCUCUGGGCAUUAACUGACGCUGAGGAGCGAAAGCAUGGGGAGCAAACAGG
Molecule: ribosomal RNA, 253 nt
Filed under: uncultured bacterium
Lineage: Bacteria
Description: partial 16S ribosomal RNA
Rfam family: Bacterial small subunit ribosomal RNA
Source: RNAcentral